CAAACGAUAUAUGUCCUAAAUAGUGUAUCCAUGGACAAUGGAUCGAUUGAAGAAAUAAUCUAAUGAUGUUAGAUUACACAGACCUUCUUCACAUAACCAUAAUGUCCAAAAGGGUUCCUGGUCAUUGGAUUGUCGGAGGGAUACUGACAAUGCUUAGACCGGUACAUACUGUGUCUGCUUCAAUUGGAAGGAUGGAAAGUCUCAUCCCAUUCGUGUGGUGACACUAAGAUAAGUAUGUAGGUGCUCAUUAUGGGAAUGAGUUCACUGAACACAAUCGAACGAGAGUACUUGCAUGGAGGUCUACUCACAUGUCAAGCAAGUAA
Molecule: long non-coding RNA, 323 nt
Filed under: Malus domestica (apple)
Lineage: Eukaryota; Viridiplantae; Streptophyta; Magnoliopsida; Rosales; Rosaceae
Description: long non-coding RNA (MDOM_LNC010335)
Source: RNAcentral